This is a non-coding RNA of Pelobates cultripes (western spadefoot toad), 502 nucleotides long. The record is from the annotation of a GenBank genome assembly. Lineage: Eukaryota; Metazoa; Chordata; Amphibia; Anura; Pelobatidae.
CCAAACUCCCGAACGGCAAUACACGAACUGCUGGUAACCGUCGAACAGUAAUAUCCCCAAAGCGGCUUUCGUUCCAUCCAGCAGUCUCUAAACGUGAAGAAGAAAUCCCCCCCAAUAACGAGACAGAAGCUCUGCAUUGAGGGUCAAACAGAAUCUGGUUUUACUGUGGGCUACCUGCCCGUAUUUAUGCAGGUCUCCCACCUGGUGGACACUCCCCUAGGGGACCAAAUGGGAGACUUAAACUACAGACAGAUAGAGGGACAUUUCAGACACACAGUCACUUAUUUUACCCACAGUGCAUUAUGAUUCCCUCCCCUCUGCCCUGGAGUUAAUUACCAAGUAACUCCAUUAACUCCAGGACAAGGACAGUCGCCAUUUUAGACAUAAAAUAAUAAAAGACAUAAAAAUACAUAACUACAUGAAAACUGAACAUUUCCCAUUCGUAUUACAUGUCCCCAGAUAGCCUGGAUCUGAGUGCAUAUUAUUAGCGAAUAGCGCUCAG